AUUGAACGCUGGCGGCAGGCCUAACACAUGCAAGUCGAGCGGAUGAAGGGAGCUUGCUCCUGGAUUCAGCGGCGGACGGGUGAGUAAUGCCUAGGAAUCUGCCUGGUCGUGGGGGCUAACGUCCGGAAACGGGCGCUAAUACCGCAUACGUCCUGAGGGUGAAAGGGGGGGAUCUUCGGACCUCACGCUAUCAGAUGAGCCUAGGUUGGAUUAGCUAGUUGGUGGGGUAAAGGCCUACCAAGGCGACGAUCCGUAACUGGUCUGAGAGGAUGAUCAGUCACACUGGAACUGAGACACGGUCCAGACUCCUACGGGAGGCAGCAGUGGGGAAUAUUGGACAAUGGGCGAAAGCCUGAUGCAGCCAUGCCGCGUGUGUGAAGAAGGUCUUCGGAUUGUAAAGCACUUUAAGUUGGGAGGAAGAGCAGUAAGUUAAUACCUGGCUGUUUUGACGUUACCAACAGAAUAAGCACCGGCUAACUUCGUG
This 484-nucleotide ribosomal RNA is filed under the name uncultured bacterium. RNAcentral describes it as "partial 16S ribosomal RNA". It matches the Rfam family "Bacterial small subunit ribosomal RNA", at positions 30 to 507 of the family's 1533-position model. The record is from RNAcentral.